AGCUUUCUGUAUCCGUGUUGAGAUUUCGUCAGCUAUCAGCCCAUUGGGUCUAAUGCAACUCCCUGAAUAAGUGAAGUG
RNAcentral lists this microRNA precursor (78 nucleotides) under Trichobilharzia regenti. RNAcentral's name for it is "mir-3492 microRNA precursor family". It matches the Rfam family "mir-3492 microRNA precursor family". The record is from Rfam by way of RNAcentral. Lineage: Eukaryota; Metazoa; Platyhelminthes; Trematoda; Strigeidida; Schistosomatidae.